Oncorhynchus tshawytscha (Chinook salmon) is the source of this 739-nucleotide long non-coding RNA. The record is from Ensembl. Lineage: Eukaryota; Metazoa; Chordata; Actinopteri; Salmoniformes; Salmonidae.
AGUAGGUGAGAGGUGAGGGGCAACAGUAGGUGAGAGGUGAGGGGUAACAGUAGGUGAGAGGUGAGGGGCAACAGUAGGCAGGAGGUGAGGGGUAACAGUAGAUGAGAGGUGAGGGUUACAGUAGGUGAGAGGUGAGGGGUAACAGUAGGUGAGAGGUGAGGGUUACAGUAGGUGAGAGGUGAGGGUGAGAGGGAACAGUAGGUGAGAGGUGAGAGGGUACAGUAGGUGAGAGGUGAGGGGUUACAGUAGGUGAGAGGUGAGGGGUGAGAGGGAACAGUAGGUGAGAGGUGAGGGUUACAGUAGGUGAGAGGUGUGCGGUUAAGGUAGGUGAGAGGUGAGGGGUUACAGUAGGUGAGAGGUGAGGGGUAACAGUAGGUGAAGGUGAGAGGUAACAGUAGGUGAGAGGUGAGGGGUAACAGUAGGUGAGAGGUGAGGGGUAACAGUAAGUGAGAGGUGAGAGGUAACAGUAGAUGAGAGGUGAGAGGGAACAGUAGGUGAGAGGUGAGAGGGUACAGUAGGUGAGAGGUGAGGGGUUACAGUAGGUGAGAGGUGAGAGGUUACAGUAGGUGAGAGGUGAGGGGCAACAGUAGGUGAGAGGUGAGAGGCAACAGUAGGUGAGAGGUGAGGGGCAACAGUAGGUGAGAGGUUACAGUAGGUGAGAGGUGAGGGGCAACAGUAGGUGAGAGGUGAGAGGCAACAGUAGGUGAGAGGUGAGGGGCAACAGUAGGUGAGAGGUGAG